AUGCAAGUCGAACGGUAACAGGAAGAAGCUUGCUUCUUUGCUGACGAGUGGCGGACGGGUGAGUAAUGUCUGGGAAACUGCCUGAUGGAGGGGGAUAACUACUGGAAACGGUAGCUAAUACCNNNUAACGUCGCAAGACCAAAGAGGGGGACCUUCGGGCCUCUUGCCAUCGGAUGUGCCCAGAUGGGAUUAGCUAGUAGGUGGGGUAACGGCUCACCUAGGCGACGAUCCCUAGCUGGUCUGAGAGGAUGACCAGCCACACUGGAACUGAGACACGGUCCAGACUCCUACGGGAGGCAGCAGUGGGGAAUAUUGCACAAUGGGCGCAAGCCUGAUGC
This 338-nucleotide ribosomal RNA is filed under the name uncultured Gammaproteobacteria bacterium. RNAcentral describes it as "bacterial SSU rRNA". It matches the Rfam family "Bacterial small subunit ribosomal RNA", at positions 55 to 389 of the family's 1533-position model. The record is from RNAcentral. Lineage: Bacteria; Pseudomonadati; Pseudomonadota; Gammaproteobacteria.